GUAUUAAAUUUCUUUCCCCAGGACUACACUGAGUACCUCCUCUCUCACGGAAAUCCAUGGAAGUCCCAGAAAAACAGGUGAAAUGAUGAUUUUCUCAUUGUCAACCCUUAUAUUAAUCUUGGAGGUCCUGUUUGAAUAUGUCUUUAUGGGAAGGAGGAAGAUGAGCUUGUAGCAGUGAGUUUGUUCAGGAAGAGUGACAAGAGGAAGAAGCACAGAAAGGUCUGGACUUGCCUCCUCUGUCCCCAGGGAGUUUCAGGCAGUAGGUGGGCUGAGUGCUGGACUGCAAAGAAAGCCUUGGGAUAUUUGGAUCCUCCUUGGAUUGCCCCAGGUGAUUAGGUCCUGGUGAAUCUUGGAGAGCUGCAUCCGAGUUUGCAGGAGACGGGGAGACAGCUGUUUCAUCUGGCUGCCACUUGCAGAAACCACACUGCUGCUGCAGGUUUGACAUUAGCAGCGAAAUGAGGUGAUUUUCCCCUUGCUGAAGUUCAGAGUGCUCUUCAGGUUCCCGUGGUAAACAUGUGCCAUGCCGACACCAGUGCCAGGUGAGAGAUGCCAUGUAUAAUUUUAGA
RNAcentral lists this long non-coding RNA (566 nucleotides) under Cyanistes caeruleus (blue tit). RNAcentral's name for it is "lncRNA (ENSCCEG00000008619.1)". Lineage: Eukaryota; Metazoa; Chordata; Aves; Passeriformes; Paridae. The record is from RNAcentral.